AUUGAACGCUGGCGGCAUGCCUUACACAUGCAAGUCGAACGGUAACAGGUCUUCGGACGCUGACGAGUGGCGAACGGGUGAGUAAUACAUCGGAACGUGCCCAGUCGUGGGGGAUAACUACUCGAGAGAGUAGCUAAUACCGCAUACGAUCUGAGGAUGAAAGCGGGGGACCUUCGGGCCUCGCGCGAUUGGAGCGGCCGAUGGCAGAGUAGGUAGUUGGUGGGAUAAAAGCUUACCAAGCCGACGAUAUGUAGCUGGUCUGAGAGGACGACCAGCCACACUGGGACUGAGACACGGCCCAGACUCCUACGGGAGGCAGCAGUGGGGAAUUUUGGACAAUGGGCGAAAGCCUGAUCCAGCAAUGCCGCGUGCAGGAUGAAGGCCUUCGGGUUGUAAACUGCUUUUGUACGGAACGAAAAAGUCUCCUCUAAUACAGGAGGCCCAUGACGGUACCGUAAGAAUAAGCACCGGCUAACUACGUGCCAGCCGCCGCCGUAA
This 498-nucleotide ribosomal RNA is filed under the name uncultured bacterium. RNAcentral describes it as "partial 16S ribosomal RNA". It matches the Rfam family "Bacterial small subunit ribosomal RNA", at positions 30 to 523 of the family's 1533-position model. The record is from RNAcentral.